UGGGGAAUUUUGGACAAUGGGCGCAAGCCUGAUCCAGCCAUUCCGCGUGAGUGAAGAAGGCCUUCGGGUUGUAAAGCUCUUUCAGCAGGAACGAAACGGGUCGCGCUAAUACCGCGAUCUAAUGACGGUACCUGAAGAAGAAGCACCGGCUAACUACGUGCCAGCAGCCGCGGUAAUACGUAGGGUGCGAGCGUUAAUCGGAAUUACUGGGCGUAGAGCGUGCGCAGGCGGUUUGUUAAGACAGGUGUGAAAUCCCCGGGCUUAACCUGGGAAUUGCGCUUGUAACUGGCAGGCUGGAGUGUGUCAGAGGGAGGUAGAAUUCCACGUGUAGCAGUGAAAUGCGUAGAGAUGUGGAGGAAUACCGAUGGCGAAGGCAGCCUCCUGGGAUAACACUGACGCUCAUGCACGAAAGCGUGGGGAGCAAACAGGAUUAGAUACCCUGGUAGUCCACGCCCUAAACGAUGUCAACUGGUUGUUGGGUG
Molecule: ribosomal RNA, 482 nt
Filed under: uncultured Pseudomonadota bacterium
Lineage: Bacteria; Pseudomonadati; Pseudomonadota
Description: bacterial SSU rRNA
Rfam family: Bacterial small subunit ribosomal RNA
Source: RNAcentral